Molecule: long non-coding RNA, 3313 nt
Filed under: Homo sapiens (human)
Lineage: Eukaryota; Metazoa; Chordata; Mammalia; Primates; Hominidae
Description: HSALNT0328153
Source: RNAcentral
AGUUUCGGCAAGGGAUAUUGGGGUGGCGAAGGGGAGGCGGGGGCCCGAAGGCUUCGGAAAACGAUGGGGGAGGGGGCAGAGGAUACCCGUCGAAGCCCCCCCCUCCCCCAACAUUUCGAUAUUGGAAUCACUUUCCUUCUUCCUCGGGCCAGCCUUUGCUCUGUCCCCUCAGGUCAACUCAAGGUAGACAGUGUGGCGACUGGAGAGGUCGGGGAACAAGCUUUGUUUCAGCUAAGGGGAAAACAAGCGUUCACAGGAGUCCCCUGACACCUCCCACUCGGAAGAUAGCUAACGGGGGUCCUGCCAACCCUUCCCAUCCAACUUCCAUCUGAAAAGGAUUUUCUGCUAAAGUUGGGUCCAUGGCCAUCCAGCACCUGUAAGGCCGGCAGGAGCGUCUGCCCUCUACUCAGUUAAAGCCUGAAGUCGUUUCCUUUCGAUGGCCCUUAGGAGGCCCAAAAGAGGGGCGACAGAACAUGAUGUUGACACGGGCUGGGCGCCCCCAGAAGCCCGGGAACAAACGUUUCUACUUUCCAGGUCCACUGGUGUUUGGUGUACCCAUGUGACUAAUUUGUCCAAAGAGAGAUUUCUGUGAAUAGACCAGAAGCCGACCUUUACAGUGUGUUUGGGUGCAGGUGAGGCUGAUUUGAGGCAAAUGUGCUUUACAGAUCUACAAUCUUAUACCUCACUCUGGCUGAAGCACCAGUCCCCAAGUGCAGACUUCUUGCCUGUUUCCCGUGUAACACUGUCCAACUCUGAAGGCUCCUACCCUGACCUUGGCCCUUGCUAUUUUCUUCAGUGGUUCUGAUGAUGGAAGAAUCAGAAGUGCCUGGUGUAUACUGGAAAUAGGGUGGGUGGGGGGGGGGUGGCGUGUAUAUUUUCGGGGAGUAUUUUUCCUUUUUAUCAUCUCUAUUCUAACUGUUUUCUCUGGGCACAGCUUUGCUCUAAUUAUAGCAAAGGCUAAACAAGGUGAACUUCAGUCUAGGAAUUUUUAGUUCUAUAAUUUUAUGAGAGAGAAGACUUUUUCAAAUAAUUUCCUUGCUUAUUGGUUACUUUUUAACCUGCUUUGUGGGAUCCAUGCAGUUAAUUGAUUAAUCAUCUAAUUAUUACUGGCAUGGUUAUGGAUGUUACUUACAAUCUCAAGGCUUAUUUUCCUGCAAGUGGGCAUAAAAACACAAAUUAUAGGUUUGUUCUGAGUAUUAAAUGAGAUUAUGGCCAGUGCCUAGAACAUAUAUUUGAUGAAAAAAUCAAUUCAGUUCUAUUGACACCAGCAUUGAGAUAUGCUAAAUUCAAUGGUAAUUCUGAGUUUCAGAGUUCUGAGAAUGGCUUGAAUAAGUUUAUACUAACUUACAGUAGCAACAAUUGUUGAAUGCUUACUAUGUAGAAGGCAUAGUAAGGCGUAUGUUAAAUGUGUUGUAUUAACUUAUUUAGUUCUCACUACAGCAUCAGGAGGUAGGUUCCAUCGUCUAUAUUGUUUAGCUUGGAUAGAAAUAACUUGCUUAGGGAUAGCCUGUUAGGUCUGUCUGAUCCUGAGGUGUGUACUCCAAACUAUAUUAUACUGCCUUCCUGUGACCAUUUUCUAAAUACAAGUAUCAUAUUUUGAAAGUAAGAUACAUAAAAUUGAGCAGUUGUUCUGUGAUUACUGUGAGGUAGACUGUGAGUUGGGAAAUGUUACAUUUGGAGUGGAAAACAUUAUAAUUAUGGAUUCAGAAUUCCAUGAUCAGGGAUGGCUGGGGACAACUUCUAUUCUAGAACAUGGGUUGGGAACAUGGACUCUGGACUCAUAUUUUCUGUGUUUGCAUCUCAGCUCUGCCACUUUGUAGCUCUGUGACCUAGGACUAACUCAACUUCCUGAGUCUCAAUUUUCUUGUCUAUAAAAUGAUGAAAAUGCUGCCCAUCUCAUAGAGUUAUGAGGAUUAAAUGAGCGAAUACAUGUAGAUUCCUUAGAAUAGUGGCUGACACUUGGUAAGUGUCAUUAGAUAUCAUUAGCAUUUCUAUAUCUUUCACUUUAUAUGUCUCUUCUGGCUGUCUUCAUGUGUGCAUAGUUGUACUCUUGCUAAGAAAUGCAUAGAUUUACUUAAGGAUGUUGUGAAGCUUGUCCACAGAAUUAUAAUGUGGUUUUGGAGUCUUUAGUAUAUUAUAAUAGAGGGAAAAGUUAUUACUGUCAAUUUUUUCCACCUUCAAAAACAAUUAUUGCUUAAGAAUUACUGGGAUUAAUUAUCUUUUAAAUGUUUAAAUCUGAAUUCAUAUUUAUAAAAUUAAUACCUGUUCAAAAUCAAUAUUAGUAGAAGCCAAAUAUAUUGAGUGACUUAGUUGGCCUUAUCUUUAGUCAUAAUUUCAGAUUGGAAGUGAAAGCGAAUUUAAAAGAUGUGGUUGUGUAGAACCAUCUCUUUUAUUCUUUUUAUACAUGCAUGUGAGUGAGGUAAGUGGUUAGACAUAUUCUUAGUCUUUUUGCCCAGCUCAAGGAAGAGUUAAUAAAAUUACGUUAUGUAAAGUGCAUUGAACUCCUCAAGAGAGAAGUGUUACAUUAAUACCUGCCUCACAGUGAUGUUCUCAGACUUAAUGUUUGUAAAUUGCCUUGGUACUCCCAGUAACAUCCUGAUGAAGCAUCAUUUUGUUUUAUUGCAAGGAGCUCUAAGUUACACAGAAUACAAGUUAAGGGGGAAAUAAUAUCCCAGUCUUUAUUUUACAAUCAGAAGUACAUAAAAUAGAGAGAAAACAUUUUGUUCCAGUUGUGAAUGGUAAAAUUGAUCAUUUAUUUUUUUCUCUCUGUUACUUUGGGGAUGACGUAGAGUUUAUAAUGUAGUUUAAUUGAGCACUCAAGGUUAAAGUAUUUAAUGGCAGAAUUGGUGAUCAUGAUACAAAGAGAUCUUUAAGGACACUGGUAUUCAAAUUUUUAAAGUUAAAUUCCAAUUUUAAGAGUCAGUUUUUUAUAUGAUUACUAUUAAGUUUGGCAUUUUUGAGACAUGUCUUAAAUCGAUAUCUGUAAUACUUACAAACAUCAGUAGAGAGAAUCAUAUUGUAAACACAUAUUCUUGCUGUAGGGUACAUUUUAAAUGUCUAAACACUAAUCAAUAUAGCAAAAUUAAGUAUUGACUAAAAUAGCUUUAUAAUAAGUAAUUAUUGGUUUGCUCUUUUAGAAAUUAGACAUUUUCACUUUGGGAAUAAAGAGUAAAUUUACUGUCAUGAAAUUAAAGUGUUUUUGACCUUUUUGUACAACUUUCCUCUGUCUAUGAAAUGAUUAGGUUUAAAUAUGAUUGCACAGCUGUAUUAUGUUGCAAGCAUCAAUUUUUAAUUAUUAUAAGGUCAAUGUUAG